GGUAUUGACUUAGUUGAAUAAAGUUCUGAGUAAGUCUAGAUGAUGACUUAAUUUACUCAUGUGUCUUGACCAAAGUACGUGCCAGCAGUCGCGGUAAGACGUUAAAGACUAGUGUUAUUCAUCAUUAGCAGGUUUAAAGGGUACUUAGACGGCAAACCAAGCCAUAGAAGGGACUAGUUUGCUAGAGUUGCUUGUGAAGGGGCUUUUAAGUACUGGUGGAGUAGAGAUAAAAUGCAGAUAUACCUUUUUUCGUAAGAAAAAAAAAUGGCACUGGUAAAGGCGAAGGCAUCCCCUUAUGUGUAAACUGACGUUAAAGGACGAAGGCUUUGAACCGCGAAUAGGAUUAGAUACCCUAGUAGUCAAAGCAGAGAAUUAUGAGUGCCAUAGAUUAGGUUUAUUUUUGAUCUAUAAAUGAAAGUGCAAGCACUCCACCUUAUGAGUAACGUGGCAACACCGAAAUUGAAAUCAUUAGACCGUUUCUGAGACCAGUAGUGAAGUAUGUUGUUUAAUUUGAUGAUCCGCAAAAAACCUUACCACAACUUGCAUAUACUUAUUUUGAUUUGUAUACAAGCGUUGCACGGCUGUCUUAAGUUAAUGUCGUGAGACUUUGAUUAGAUUCAUUUAAUUGACGUAAUCCCUC
RNAcentral lists this ribosomal RNA (640 nucleotides) under Bacidina delicata. RNAcentral describes it as "SSU rRNA". It matches the Rfam family "Bacterial small subunit ribosomal RNA", at positions 429 to 1107 of the family's 1533-position model. Lineage: Eukaryota; Fungi; Ascomycota; Lecanoromycetes; Lecanorales; Ramalinaceae. The record is from RNAcentral.